UACGAAGGGGGCUAGCGUUGCUCGGAAUCACUGGGCGUAAAGCGCACGUAGGCGGAUUGCUAAGUCAGGGGUGAAAUCCUGGAGCUCAACUCCAGAACUGCCUUUGAUACUGGCGACCUUGAGUCCGGGAGAGGUGAGUGGAACUGCGAGUGUAGAGGUGAAAUUCGUAGAUAUUCGCAGGAACACCAGUGGCGAAGGCGGCUCACUGGCCCGGUACUGACGCUGAGGCGCGAAAGCGUGGGGAGCAAACAGG
RNAcentral lists this ribosomal RNA (253 nucleotides) under uncultured bacterium. RNAcentral's name for it is "partial 16S ribosomal RNA". It matches the Rfam family "Bacterial small subunit ribosomal RNA", at positions 524 to 776 of the family's 1533-position model. The record is from RNAcentral.